This 650-nucleotide ribosomal RNA is filed under the name uncultured bacterium. RNAcentral describes it as "bacterial SSU rRNA". It matches the Rfam family "Bacterial small subunit ribosomal RNA", at positions 67 to 713 of the family's 1533-position model. The record is from RNAcentral.
UGACGGGAGUGCUUCGGUACUGAGCUAGCGGCGGACGGGUGAGUAAAGCUUAGGAAUCUGCCAUUUAGUGGGGGACAACAUUCCGAAAGGGAUGCUAAUACCGCAUACGCCCUACGGGGGAAAGCAGGGGAUCUUCGGACCUUGCGCUAAAUGAUGAGCCUAAGUCGGAUUAGCUAGUUGGUGGGGUAAAGGCCUACCAAGGCGACGAUCUGUAGCGGGUCUGAGAGGAUGAUCCGCCACACUGGGACUGAGACACGGCCCAGACUCCUACGGGAGGCAGCAGUGGGGAAUAUUGGACAAUGGGCGCAAGCCUGAUCCAGCCAUGCCGCGUGUGUGAAGAAGGCCUUUUGAUUGUAAAGCACUUUAAGCGAGGAGGAGGCUACCUGGAUUAAUACUCUAGGAUAGUGGACGUUACUCGCAGAAUAAGCACCGGCUAACUCUGUGCCAGCAGCCGCGGUAAUACAGAGGGUGCGAGCGUUAAUCGGAUUUACUGGGCGUAAAGCGUGCGUAGGCGGCUGAUUAAGUCGGAUGUGAAAUCCCUGAGCUUAACUUAGGAAUUGCAUUCGAUACUGGUCAGCUAGAGUAUGGGAGAGGAUGGUAGAAUUCCAGGUGUAGCGGUGAAAUGCGUAGAGAUCUGGAGGAAUACCGAU